UACGGAGGGGGCUAGCGUUGUUCGGAUUUACUGGGCGUAAAGGGCGCGUAGGCGGCCCUCCUUGUCGCGUGUGAAAGCCCCGGGCUCAACCUGGGAAUUGCGCGCGAAACGGGCGGGCUUGAGUUCGGGAGAGGAGCGUGGAAUUCCCAGUGUAGAGGUGAAAUUCGUAGAUAUUGGGAAGAACACCGGUGGCGAAGGCGGCGCUCUGGACCGAGACUGACGCUGAGGCGCGAAAGCGUGGGGAGCAAACAGG
Molecule: ribosomal RNA, 253 nt
Filed under: uncultured bacterium
Lineage: Bacteria
Description: partial 16S ribosomal RNA
Rfam family: Bacterial small subunit ribosomal RNA
Source: RNAcentral